RNAcentral lists this ribosomal RNA (404 nucleotides) under uncultured bacterium. Its description in RNAcentral is "bacterial SSU rRNA". It matches the Rfam family "Bacterial small subunit ribosomal RNA", at positions 30 to 420 of the family's 1533-position model. The record is from RNAcentral.
AGUGAACGCUGGCGGCAGGCCUAACACAUGCAAGUCGAGCGGCAGCGCGUCCGACCACCCUCGGGUGGUCGGAUGGCGGCGAGCGGCGGACGGGUGAGGAAUGCAUCGGAAUCUGCCUCGUUGUGGGGGAUAACGUAGGGAAACUUACGCUAAUACCGCAUACGACCUACGGGUGAAAGUGGGGGACCUUCGGGCCUCACGCGAUGAGAUGAGCCGAUGCCGGAUUAGCUAGUUGGCGGGGUAAAGGCCCACCAAGGCGACGAUCCGUAGCUGGUCUGAGAGGAUGAUCAGCCACACUGGAACUGAGACACGGUCCAGACUCCUACGGGAGGCAGCAGUGGGGAAUAUUGGACAAUGGGGGCAACCCUGAUCCAGCCAUGCCGCGUGUGUGAAGAAGGCCUCGG